This 862-nucleotide ribosomal RNA is filed under the name uncultured Bacillota bacterium. Its description in RNAcentral is "bacterial SSU rRNA". It matches the Rfam family "Bacterial small subunit ribosomal RNA", at positions 58 to 952 of the family's 1533-position model. Lineage: Bacteria; Bacillati; Bacillota. The record is from RNAcentral.
CAAGUCGAACGAGAAAGGGGAGCAAUCCCUGAGUACAGUGGCGUACGGGUGAGUAACACGUGGAUGAUCUAUCUCUUAGUGGGGAAUAACCCUGGGAAACCGGGGAUAAUACCGCAUAAGCUCGAGAGAGGAAAGCAGCAAUGCGCUGAGAGAGGAGUCCGCGGUCGAUUAGCUAGUUGGCAGGGUAAAAGCCUACCAAGGCAGAGAUCGGUAGCCGGCCUGAGAGGGCACACGGCCACACUGGCACUGAAACACGGGCCAGACUCCUACGGGAGGCAGCAGUGGGGAAUCUUGCACAAUGGGGGCAACCCUGAUGCAGCGACGCCGCGUGAGCGAUGAAGCCCUUCGGGGUGUAAAGCUCUUUCGGCAGGGAAGAUAAUGACGGUACCUGCAGAAGCAGCUGCGGCUAACUACGUGCCAGCAGCCGCGGUAAUACGUAGGCAGCGAGCGUUGUUCGGAGUUACUGGGCGUAAAGGGUGUGUAGGCGGUUGUUUAAGUUUGGUGUGAAAUCUCCCGGCUCAACUGGGAGGGUGCGCCGAAUACUGAAUGACUUGGAGUGCGGGAGAGGAGAGUGGAAUUCCUGGUGUAGCGGUGAAAUGCGUAGAUAUCAGGAGGAACACCGGUGGUGUAGACGGCUCUCUGGACCGUAACUGACGCUGAGACACGAAAGCGUGGGUAACAAACAGGAUUAGAUACCCUGGUAGUCCACGCCCUAAACGAUGCAUAUUUGGUGUGGGCAGUUCAUUCUGUCCGUGCCGGAGCUAACGCGUUAAAUAUGCCGCCUGGGGAGUACAGUCGCAAGGCUGAAACUCAAAGGAAUUGACGGGGGCCCGCACAAGCGGUGGAGCAUGUGGUUCAAUUC